AUCCAGCUGACGAGUCCCAAAUAAGCCGAAACGCGCGUCCUGAAU
Non-coding RNA from Schistosoma mansoni, 45 nucleotides. The record is from Rfam. Lineage: Eukaryota; Metazoa; Platyhelminthes; Trematoda; Strigeidida; Schistosomatidae.